GACCAGAAUGGGGAGAAAGGACCAGAUGGCUGUGAAAUGCCACAGACAGUGUGUGACUGGGCUGAGCCACUGAAGACCUACCUGAUGAGGUUAACAGCUGACUGGGGGUGCCAGGAGCAGAGAGUGAGUGUGCAGGUUUGUACCUGACCGACAGGAGGUGCUCACAAGAGUGAGGAAGAAAUUGGAAAAGGACCAGACAAGCAGCUCCAACCAUGACUCAACAAGUGCUUCUAUGGCUGAGACUAUGAGAAGGAACCACUCAGAUCUCAUAUCUCUCAAAGUGCUGAUCAACCAGCUGUUUCCAGUGGACACAAAGCAGAAAUCAUAUUAAACUUAGCAGAACCAAGAAUUACAAGGGCC
Molecule: long non-coding RNA, 360 nt
Organism: Mauremys reevesii (Reeves's turtle)
Lineage: Eukaryota; Metazoa; Chordata; Testudines; Geoemydidae
Exons: 4
Source: RefSeq, a predicted model, not a curated record